CACCCUACGGGAGGGCAGCAGUGGGGAAUAUUGCACAAUGGGGGAAACCCUGAUGCAGCGACGCCGCGUGAGUGAAGAAGUAUCUCGGUACGUAAAGCUCUAUCAGCAGGGAAGAAAAAAAGUCUUUGGCUUUGGACGGUACCUGACUAAGAAGCCCCGGCUAACUACGUGCCAGCAGCCGCGGUAAUACGUAGGGGGCAAGCGUUGUUCGGAAUGACUGGGCGUAAAGGGUGCGUAGGCGGUGUAGCAAGUUAGAAGUGAAAUACCUAGAGCUUAACUCAGGUGCUGCUUCUAAAACUGCUAUA
RNAcentral lists this ribosomal RNA (305 nucleotides) under uncultured bacterium. RNAcentral describes it as "bacterial SSU rRNA". It matches the Rfam family "Bacterial small subunit ribosomal RNA", at positions 334 to 640 of the family's 1533-position model. The record is from RNAcentral.